GUAUCGCAAGAUGCGGAAAAUAGCAUCCAAAUGAGGUUCACAAGGAUCAUGCAUAUACUGACUCACCAGACUUACAAUAUAGGCUAUGUCUGGUCUAGUCUGAGAGAGAUAAAUCAAUCUCCCAACUAACCUCUGAUAUCUUUCUAUGUCAACUGCCGCCCCAAUUCCAGUUUGUAGCUGUUGAUUAGCUUCAAUAGGAGAUUCU
RNAcentral lists this unclassified non-coding RNA (205 nucleotides) under Hevea brasiliensis (rubber tree). The record is from RNAcentral. Lineage: Eukaryota; Viridiplantae; Streptophyta; Magnoliopsida; Malpighiales; Euphorbiaceae.